Molecule: ribosomal RNA, 567 nt
Filed under: uncultured bacterium
Lineage: Bacteria
Description: bacterial SSU rRNA
Rfam family: Bacterial small subunit ribosomal RNA
Source: RNAcentral
GAGUUUGAUCAUGGCUCAGAGUGAACGCUGGCGGCGUGGAUUAGGCAUGCAAGUCGAGCGAUACCCUGGAUGGAGAGAUUGAAGCCGCAAGGCGGAUGUCGAUUUGUCUGGGGAUAUAGCGGCAGACUGGUGAGGAACACGUGAGUAAUAUACCUCCAAGUUGGGAAUAGCCUUGCGAAAGUGAGGGUAAUACCCGAUGUGUUUACGGCGGCGCAAGCCGCUGCAAGUAAAGGUGCACCGGCGAAAGCCGGGGUGCCGCUUGAAGAUUAGCUCGCGUCCUAUCAGCUAGUUGGUGGGGUAAUGGCCUACCAAGGCUUUUGACGGGUAGCUGGCCUGAGAGGGUGGUCAGCCACACGGGGACUGAGACACUGCCCCGACUCCUACGGGAGGCUGCAGUCGAGGAUCUUUAGCAAUGGGCGAAAGCCUGACUAUGCGACGCCGCGUGAGGGAUGAAGGUUUUCGGAUCGUAAACCUCUUUCGAUGGGGAAGAAUGUCCAGGCUUAACCGUCUGGAUUGACGGUACCUAGAGAAGAAGCCACGGCCAACUCCGUGCCAGCAGCCGCGGUA